UGAUGACGAGACGCUAAGGCGUUGAAGCAGUGUAUGUCAGACUUCCAAGAAAAGCUCGCAAUGUCACAAAUAAAAGAUGCCUGUACCAUAACCGACACAGGUGGGUAGGUAGAGUAUACUAAGGGGCGCGAGAUAACUCUCUCUAAGGAACUCGGCAAAAUGACUCCGUAACUUCGGGAGAAGGAGUGCCUUAUUUAUAAGGUUGCAAUAACAAGAUCCAAGCAACUGUUUAUCAAAAACACAGGUCUCCGCUAAGUCGUAAGACGAUGUAUGGGGGCUGACGCCUGCCCAGUGCCAGAAGGUUAAAGAAGUUGGUUAGUGUAUGCGAAGCUGAUGACUGAAGCCCUGGUGAACGGCGGCCGUAACAAUAACGGUCCUAAGGUAGCGAAAUUCCUUGUCGGGUAAGUUCCGACCCGCACGAAAGGCGUAAUGAUUUGGAUACUGUCUCGGAGAGAGGCUCGGUGAAAUAGACUUGUCUGUGAAGAUGCGGACUACCUGCACCAGGACAGAAAGACCCUAUGAAGCUUUACUGUAACUUGAAAUUGGAAUUGGACUUUGCUUGCGCAGUAUAGGUGGGAAGCGUUGAAAAUAUUCUUGCGGGAGUAUUGGAGCUAUCAGUGAGAUACCACUCUUGUAAUGUUAGAUUUCUAACUUUGAACCAUAAUCUGGUCAAAGAACAGUUUCAGGUGGGCAGUUUGACUGGGGCGGUCGCCUCCCAAAUGGUAACGGAGGCGUACAAAGGUUUCCUCUGAACGGAUAGAAAUCGUAUCUAGAGUGUAAAGGCAUAAGGAAGCUUGACUGUGAGACCUACAAGUCGAGCAGGGACGAAAGUCGGUCUUAGUGAUCUGACGGUACUGAGUGGAAAGGCCGUCACUCAACGGAUAAAAGUUACUCUAGGGAUAACAGGCUGAUCUCCCCCAAGAGUUCACAUCGACGGGGAGGUUUGGCACCUCGAUGUCGGCUCAUCGCAUCCUGGGGCGGUAGUACGUCCCAAGGGUUGGGCUGUUCGCCCAUGAAAGCGGUACGCGAGCUGGGUUCAGAACGUCGUGAGACAGUUCGGUCCAUAUCCGGUGUAGGCGCUAGAAUAUUGAGAGGAGCCUUCUUUAGUACGAGAGGACCGAGAAGGACACACCGCUGGUGUACCAGUUAUCGUGCCAACGGUAAACGCUGGGUAGCUAUGUGUGGAGUGGAUAACCGCUGAAAGCAUCUAAGUGGGAAGCCCACCUCGAGAUGAGUAUUCCC
RNAcentral lists this ribosomal RNA (1242 nucleotides) under metagenome. Its description in RNAcentral is "bacterial LSU rRNA". It matches the Rfam family "Bacterial large subunit ribosomal RNA", at positions 1564 to 2815 of the family's 2925-position model. The record is from RNAcentral.